GAAGAGGCGACGCGCCGGAAAGCUACAGGAUAGCAGGAGACGAGCUGCCAUCAAAACACAACUUCGGGACCGCGGUCCGCGUCCCCUCUGUCCGCAGAUCGUACCGGGGGAAGGUGAUACGUGCCUGCUGAGGAGGUUUUAAGGGACGGAGGACGUGCAAACACUUGUUUUAUGCGAGCAAAGACAGCAUUUGGCCUUGACAGCUCGGCUAACGUUAGGCCGCGGUAGCGUUAGCCGCGAGCUCUUCUAUUGACGAGCAAAGCAAAACAAGGAAUGAGUGAUGACCUCUGUGGUGGUGUCAGAUGGUGGAGGGAACAUAGUGGAGUAUGUCACCGUGGUGGAGGAGCUCCAGCAGGUAAGCCUCCUUUCAGCGCACACAGCCCGGUGUGGUGACCAAAGGUCCGCACGUGGUUUUGUUGUUUGUACUCAUCCAGGUGAUAAUGCAUAACAACACGUGACAGCAUUCUAAAUAGGAAAUGGGCAACUGCUGAAUGGAAAAUGGCAAACAAAUGAAUGAGAGUACCUUUAAGACAAGUGUUUUUUAGGUGUAAAGUUUAUAUUAUUGGUUAUUUUUAUUUUAUAGAAGCGAUGAUUAUAGUGGCAAAGGAGUUGUUGCUUUAAUUUGUUAUUAUGAAAGACAUUUCGUUUGUGCAAUAUAAUGGUCAUAUAGUCAUGAAACCAUGGGCCUUUUCUCGCUCUUACAAUAUGACUCUUAACAAAUACAGAUUAUGGCUGUUUGUAGUGCAAUAGCAGCUAGAAACACACCAGAGGUUUGUCUUCUGUUCGAUAAAAACAAUCAAGGAACUUGUUGUCCUGCAGUGGCUUUUGUAUAUUGUUCCAUUUUGAUAUUAAACUUCAAUAGCAAGACAUUGACACACAUGUGCAGUAUUUAUUUUGUAUAUACAAUUGGGACAGCAUCAGUGCAAUACAAUAAUCAUCCUAGUACUGCUGUUGAUUAAAAGUGAUAAUCAUUUUCCCAAAUGCCGCGUCCAAAUGAGAGGGUUCAAGCCAUUAGUUUUACUUGUUUGAACAAUUUUUCCCUCAUAUAAUACAGUACAUUCUGGUGAAACAAAUGCCCCUCUGUAAGACGGAUUGAAUUUCUAUAAACAGCCUAGUAGGACUUUAAAAAGCUCCUGGUGGACACGGACGGUGUUACUGAGACACACAGACUUUACCUGACCUCAUUAAAAGAAAUCUCCCUUUUCUCCCAUCUUCCCAUCGGCUAGUGUGAGCAGCCGCACACUGAGGAGGAGGAGGAGGAAGAGGAAGUGGUAGAGCAGGAAAUUGAGGCAGUGAUCGUGGAGGGCGAGGA
Molecule: long non-coding RNA, 1312 nt
Organism: Gasterosteus aculeatus aculeatus (three-spined stickleback)
Lineage: Eukaryota; Metazoa; Chordata; Actinopteri; Perciformes; Gasterosteidae
Source: Ensembl